This 404-nucleotide ribosomal RNA is filed under the name uncultured bacterium. RNAcentral describes it as "bacterial SSU rRNA". It matches the Rfam family "Bacterial small subunit ribosomal RNA", at positions 355 to 776 of the family's 1533-position model. The record is from RNAcentral.
UGGGGAAUCUUGGACAAUGGACGCAAGUCUGAUCCAGCGAUGCCGCGUGAGCGAUGAAGGCCUUAGGGUUGUAAAGCUCUUUCGCCCGCGACGAUGAUGACGGUAGCGGGAGAAGAAGCCCCGGCUAACUCCGUGCCAGCAGCCGCGGUAAUACGGAGGGGGCUAGCGUUGUUCGGAAUUACUGGGCGUAAAGCGCGCGUAGGCGGCCCAUCAAGUCAGGGGUGAAAGCCCGGGGCUCAACCCCGGAAUUGCCUUUGAGACUGAUGGGCUGGAGUUCGGGAGAGGAGAGUGGAAUUCCCAGUGUAGAGGUGAAAUUCGUAGAUAUUGGGAAGAACACCGGUGGCGAAGGCGGCUCUCUGGCCCGAGACUGACGCUGAGGCGCGAAAGCGUGGGGAGCAAACAGG